This 507-nucleotide ribosomal RNA is filed under the name uncultured Sclerocystis. RNAcentral's name for it is "SSU rRNA". It matches the Rfam family "Eukaryotic small subunit ribosomal RNA", at positions 569 to 1078 of the family's 1831-position model. Lineage: Eukaryota; Fungi; Glomeromycota; Glomeromycetes; Glomerales; Glomeraceae. The record is from RNAcentral.
AGCAGCCGCGGUAAUUCCAGCUCCAAUAGCGUAUAUUAAAGUUGUUGCAGUUAAAAAGCUCGUAGUUGAAUUUCGGGAUCAGUACGCUGGUCGUGCCUCCGGUAUGUACUGGUGUCACUGAUUCCUCCCUUCUGAAGAACCAUCAUGCCAUUAAUUUGGUGUGGUGGGGAAUCAGGACUGUUGCUUUGAAAAAAUUAGAGUGUUUAAAGCAGGCUCGCGCUUGAAUACAUUAGCAUGGAAUAAUGAAAUAGGACGUUUAUCCUAUUUUGUUGGUUUCUAGGAUUGACGUAAUGAUUAAUAGGGAUAGUUGGGGGCAUUAGUAUUCAAUUGUCAGAGGUGAAAUUCUUGGAUUUAUUGAAGACUAACUACUGCGAAAGCAUUUGCCAAGGAUGUUUUCAUUAAUCAAGAACGAAAGUUAGGGGAUCGAAGACGAUCAGAUACCGUCGUAGUCUUAACCAUAAACUAUGCCGACUAGGGAUCGGAUGAUGUUAAUUUUUUAAUGACUCA